Molecule: long non-coding RNA, 155 nt
Organism: Erigeron canadensis
Lineage: Eukaryota; Viridiplantae; Streptophyta; Magnoliopsida; Asterales; Asteraceae
Exons: 3
Source: RefSeq, a predicted model, not a curated record
GUUUAAUAGUGCAUUUCAUUCGAUCGAACCAUAAAUUUAAAGGUACCUUCGUGCAUAAUGGCACCGCCGCUUCCUGAGUUUACAAUUAUCUGUAUUGACAAUGGUCGGAGGACUUUAUGUUGUAAAGAUAUCUACCACGCUCAACUUAAAGGUGC